This is a long non-coding RNA of Papaver somniferum (opium poppy), 210 nucleotides long. RefSeq lists it as uncharacterized. NCBI's taxonomy places the organism in Eukaryota, Viridiplantae, Streptophyta, Magnoliopsida, Ranunculales, Papaveraceae. The record is from RefSeq and is a predicted model, not a curated record. The transcript has 2 exons.
AUGAAGUAUUGGAAAUCGUACUAUGAGGCCCUGCCUCUCACAUGCGAACAGAACAGAAAACCAGGGAUGAACAUGAUGAAGUGACUUCUAAGAAGUAAGAGCUUGGGGAUUUAUAUAAAAAAAGUAAAGGACUUAACUCAGUCACUCAUUUCCUCCUGUAAGAUCACAAUACAACCGAGCUCCAAUGAUGUAGUUGAAUUGGUGAAUGAU